GAUGAACGCUGGCGGCGUGCCUAGUACAUGCAAGUCGAGCGAACAGACGAGGAGCUUGCUCCUCUGACGUUAGCGGCGGACGGGUGAGUAACACGUGGAUAACCUACCUAUAAGACUGGGAUAACUUCGGGAAACCGGAGCUAAUACCGGAUAAUAUAUUGAACCGCAUGGUUCAAUAGUGAAAGACGGUUUUGCUGUCACUUAUAGAUGGAUCCGCGCCGCAUUAGCUAGUUGGUAAGGUAACGGCUUACCAAGGCAACGAUGCGUAGCCGACCUGAGAGGGUGAUCGGACACGCUGGAACUGAGACACGGACCAGACUCCUACGGGAGGCAGCAGUAGGGAAUCUUCCGCAAUGGGCGAACGCCUGACGGAGCAACGCCGCGUGAGUGAUGAAGGUCUUCGGAUCGUAAAACUCUGUUAUUAGGGAAGAACAAAUGUGUAAGUAACUAUGCACGUCUUGACGGUACCUAAUCAGAAAGCCACGGCUAACUACGUG
Molecule: ribosomal RNA, 497 nt
Filed under: uncultured bacterium
Lineage: Bacteria
Description: partial 16S ribosomal RNA
Rfam family: Bacterial small subunit ribosomal RNA
Source: RNAcentral